UCCUACGGGAGGCAGCAGUGGGGAAUAUUGGACAAUGGGCGAAAGCCUGAUCCAGCCAUGCCGCGUGUGUGAAGAAGGUCUUCGGAUUGUAAAGCACUUUAAGUUGGGAGGAAGGGCAGUAAGCUAAUACCUUGCUGUUUUGACGUUACCAACAGAAUAAGCACCGGCUAACUUCGUGCCAGCAGCCGCGGUAA
This 194-nucleotide ribosomal RNA is filed under the name uncultured bacterium. Its description in RNAcentral is "partial 16S ribosomal RNA". It matches the Rfam family "Bacterial small subunit ribosomal RNA", at positions 337 to 523 of the family's 1533-position model. The record is from RNAcentral.